GUUUGAUCCUGGCUCAGGAUGAACGCUGGCGGCGUGCUUAACACAUGCAAGUCGAACGAGAACGUGCUCUUCGGAGUGCUAGUAAAGUGGCGAACGGGUGAGUAACACGUGACCAACCUUCCUCUCACAUUGGGAUACCUCAAAGAAAUUUGAGCUAAUACCAAAUACUCCGUUUCCUUCGCAUGAAGGUUACGGGAAAGCUCAGGCGGUGAGAGAUGGGGUCGCGGCCUAUUAGGUAGUUGGUGGGGCAACGGCCUACCAAGCCUACGAUAGGUAGCCGGGUUGAGAGACUGAUCGGCCACAUUGGGACUGAGAUACGGCCCAGACUCCUACGGGAGGCAGCAGUGGGGAAUUUUGCGCAAUGGGGGUUGGCCCUGACGCAGCAACGCCGCGUGCGGGAUGAAGGCCUUCGGGUUGUAAACCGCUUUCAGCAGGGACGAUCGUGACGGUACCUGCAGAAGAAGCUCCGGCUAACUACGUGCCAGCAGCCGCGGUAAUACGUAGGGAGCAAGCGUUAUCCGGAUUUAUUGGGCGUAAAGCGCUCGUAGGCUGCUCGUCAAGCAAGGCUUUAAACCUGGGGGCUUAACCUCCAGUCGGGCUUUGAACUGGCGGGCUCGAGUUGGGUAGAGGAAGAUGGAAUUCCCAGUGGAGCGGUGGAAUGCACAGAUAUUGGGAAGAACACCGAUGGCGAAGGCAGUCUUCUGGGCCUUUAACUGACGCUGAGGAGCGAAAGCUAGGGGAGCGAACAGGAUUAGAUACCCUGGUAGUCCUAGCCGUAAACGAUGGGCACUAGGUGUGGGGAUGAAUUUUCUCCGUGCCGCAGCAAACGCAUUAAGUGCCCCGCCUGGGGAGUACGGCCGCAAGGCUAAAACUCAAAGGAAUUGACGGGGGCCCGCACAAGCAGCGGAGCAUGUGGCUUAAUUCGAAGCAACGCGAAGAACCUUACCAGGUCUUGACACUCAGAUGAAGCGGUAGAAAUACCGUGGCCGAAAGGAGUCUGAACAGGUGGUGCAUGGCUGUCGUCAGCUCGUGUCGUGAGAUGUUGGGUUAAGUCCCGCAACGAGCGCAACCCUUGUUACAUGUUACCAGCAUUAAGUUGGGGACUCAUGCAAGACUGCCGGCGUCAAGCCGGAGGAAGGUGGGGAUGACGUCAAGUCAUCAUGCCCCUUAUGACCUGGGCUGCACACGUGCUACAAUGGCCGGUACAACGAGCUGCGAACGCGUAAGCGCAAGCGAAUCUCUUAAAGCCGGUCCCAGUUCGGACUGAAGGCUGCAAUUCGCCUUCACGAAGUCGGAGUUGCUAGUAAUCGCGGAUCAGCACGCCGCGGUGAAUACGUUCCCGGGCCUUGUACACACCGCCCGUCACACCACCCGAGUCGUCCGCACCCGAAGUCGCCAGCCUAACCUUUUGGAGGGAGGCGCCGAAGGUGUAGAGGGUAAGGGGGGUGAAGUCGUAACAAGGUA
This 1464-nucleotide ribosomal RNA is filed under the name bacterium enrichment culture clone R3-3. RNAcentral's name for it is "16S ribosomal RNA". It matches the Rfam family "Bacterial small subunit ribosomal RNA". The record is from RNAcentral.